This 2162-nucleotide long non-coding RNA is filed under the name Olea europaea subsp. europaea. The record is from RNAcentral. Lineage: Eukaryota; Viridiplantae; Streptophyta; Magnoliopsida; Lamiales; Oleaceae.
UAUCAAUCAAGAAAUCCCCAUACAAACCCAUUAUUUCAACUGAAUCAAUCUCUCGCUUUCAUUACAGAGGACACUCUCUGUCGCACUCGCAACCAGCAAUCCGAAUCCGCUUUUGCUCUCACUUCCUAGUAUUAAAUUCAAUUUCUUGGUUAUUAUUCGCUUUAAUUCUGAUUUUGGUUGUUAAAUCUAACGCUUUUUGCAGGCUUAUUUUUUUGUUUAAUUGUUUGCAGGGAAUUCUAUUUCACGCUCUCUCUCUCUUUUAGUUUCAUAUAUUUUGUUGUUUGUGUAUUUAUUUUUGUGCUAACGGUAAUGAAAUUCAUCUGCAUCUUCGAACAAGACUCAAUCGCAAAGACGGAGUUCGAGAGUGAAUGUAUGUGGUUGUUUUACUGUGUUCAAUAUUCUAGCAUAGGACAGAUAUAUCUAUGUUAAGAAGAAACUUUUUGGAAUUGGGACUUGGGAGAAAAAGAAAGAAAAUUUAAUUUAAAAUUGGUCAUGUUUUUCGAUUGCACAGCACUCAAUGAUUUUCGAUUUAAUUCUACAAAUUGGGUGGAUUUUAUUUGUUUUACAAUGUGGGUUUUUGAUAAGAUUGUUUUGAAAUUGUCUAUUUGAUAAGAGGAAAGAAAAUAAUUAUCUUAAAAUUGAGUAUAUAUUUUUCCAAUUCUGAUUCCAAAUUCCACGCUAUCUCAUCUGCAAUUAUGCUUUAUGUUUAUCAAUUUUAUUCGACAAAUUAGGUAGUUUUUAUUUGCUUUACAAUACGUGUUUUGAAUAUGAUUUAUAAACUUAGGGUUUUGAAGUAGUCCGAUAAGUUAAAAUUGACCUCGACAUCUGAAAUCAUGUUUUUCUUCUGUGUUUUAAAUUGGAUUUUAGAAUUUGUUUAAUUUAUGUUAAUUUUAGAAGAACAUAACUAUGUAUCUAAGAAAUACGAUGCUUUUAUUUUGUGCAGUUGGAUCCUUUCGUAUCGAACAGAUUAGCGAUGAAUUUUGACUACGCGUGUUACAUGCUUGCAAAAGCAAGGAAAGGUAAGGAAAAUCCUAUGCUAGUCUCUUCAUCCAGAAAGACGUACAGAAAAUAGCUUGCUGAAGCCUUGAAUAUGAAUAGAACUAGGAUUCUUGCUUUCAAAAACAAAUCGCCUACCCGCAAAUGGGGAUGGCAAUGGGCGGGCUGACCUUUUACCAACAAGCUUGUUACAAAUGAGCCGAGCUCGCUUUUUUUCCUUUUUUUUUUUUUUUUGCUGAAAAUAGAUAAAGCAAAAACUAUGUUUUUUUAACAAAAAAUAAAUAAACCAAACAAAAAAAUUUGAUUACUUUUUCUUUUUAAAAUAAAUGAAAUAUAAACCCUCAUCCUUUAUUCGAAUUUGGGACCGACUACUUAAAUUUUGAGUAGGCGAAAUUAAAAAUUGAACACGAACAACUUGUAAUAUGUACAAUUUUUUAAAGAUAAUUAAAAACAGUAUUAUAAAAUGACAAAUUGUGAUUAAACUGGGAUAAUUAAAUAUCACUUACUUGACGACAUAUAAUUUUGACAUAUUUAUCUUAUAUUCGGAAAUGAGCGUCCUGCCAAACAUUCACGUACAUUAAUGCUUAUAAAAUAUCUUUUUUCAGUCGACUUCUAACCUCGGACAAAAUCCUCUUACAUGCACUAAAAGCAGACUUCAAAGCUAUAGUGCUAACCGAAGGUGUCGGUAAAUCUUUUACAAUUGCGAAAACUACUAGCCAUCAUCGUUCGUACCUCUACAAGAAUUCAAUAACAUUUUCGGAACUUUUUUUAAUUGUUUUAUUAGUAGGCAUAUUAUGAUUAAAGUAAUCAAUUAAUUCAGCAGACAAAGUAUUUGCACUUUCGUCCGAUGUUGGGCUGAUGGAGAUGCAGCAAACAAAGUAUUACUAAUGAAGAUGAACCUAUUGCAUUUGAAUCAUACCUAUACGUGUUUAUGCCUUGAAAUAAAUUAUAUAUUGCAGCAUCGUUUUCUUCAAGUUCAGUAGAAGAAGUAGGGGCAAAGGGUAUUCAACUAAUAUUUGUACCCAUUCGUUCAACAUAUAAUUCAUACAUUUCACUUAAAGUUUGUUCUAAAUUUCUAUAUGUGAUAGGUGUACCAAAAGUUAAAGCUUUAGAAAUUUGAUCAAUUGUAUAUUUAGUUCGCGAUAAAUUAUAUUGGGGGUCCAUUA